This 259-nucleotide unclassified non-coding RNA is filed under the name Hevea brasiliensis (rubber tree). Lineage: Eukaryota; Viridiplantae; Streptophyta; Magnoliopsida; Malpighiales; Euphorbiaceae. The record is from RNAcentral.
GUGUGAAGGGUACGCUAUAUCCUGCAACAAAGGGUUCAAGUUUAAGAUAUCAAUAAACAAUAAAUAGAUCUAAAUUCUCAAAUCAUAAAAUUCAGAAUUCCAAAUCAAACCAUAAGAAGCAAAGCUUUAUUUGAAGCUAAAUGAAGGACCUCAAUACUUUUUAACAGUUAUCAUAAUUUUUAUAUUAUUUUCUAGGCAAUGCAUACAUAUUAUCAUAACAUUAUUUUCUAUAUUAUGGAGACGUGCCACGGAAGUUUUA